CGGAGGGUGCAAGCGUUAUCCGGAUUCACUGGGUUUAAAGGGUGCGUAGGUGGGUCUGUAAGUCCGUGGUGAAAUCUCCGAGCUUAACUCGGAAACUGCCAUGGAUACUAUAGAUCUUGAAUACCGUGGAGAGUAGCGGAAUAUGUCAUGUAGCGGUGAAAUGCUUAGAUAUGACAUAGAACACCAAUUGCGAAGGCAGCUUACUAAACAGGCAUUGACGCUGAGGCACGAAAGCGUGGGGAUCAAACAGGAUUAGAUACCCUGGUAGUCCACGCCCUAAACGAUGAUUACUCGACAUACGCGAUACUACUGUGUGUGUCUGAGCGAAAGCGUUAAGUAAUCCACCUGGGAAGUACGUCCGCAAGGAUG
This 369-nucleotide ribosomal RNA is filed under the name uncultured organism. RNAcentral's name for it is "bacterial SSU rRNA". It matches the Rfam family "Bacterial small subunit ribosomal RNA", at positions 526 to 896 of the family's 1533-position model. The record is from RNAcentral.